This 442-nucleotide long non-coding RNA is filed under the name Brassica rapa (field mustard). Its description in RNAcentral is "long non-coding RNA (BRAP_LNC001808)". The record is from RNAcentral. Lineage: Eukaryota; Viridiplantae; Streptophyta; Magnoliopsida; Brassicales; Brassicaceae.
GCAAAUUACAAAAAACAGGCUAAGAUAUUUUCGCGAUAUUACAUAGUUUAAAAUAUUGUUUAUUAGCUGUCACUACUCACUAGCGAAGUUUAUGGAUCUAGUUUAUUUUCUGCCGAUCUUUCCGCAACGCGAGGAUUGUCUACCGCUAAUGAACAUUUCUCAUUUCUAUUUACCUAGUCCAUGGAUUUUACUCCAUGCAAUGGUAUUAAAUUUUUGAGAGACUCAAAUUUUUUUGUUUGUUUACCUUAUAAUUAUUAUAUAUUUUUUCUUUGUGCUUUAAUCUCACUCGGAUAAAUAUGGCUAAUCAUAAACUAUCCUUCAUUCGAUUAUUCUAUUAAUUAUGGUUAACCAAUGUGGGUGAUUUGAUAAACUUAUAAUUUUCAAAAAUUUAGAUGUGUAAAAAUAGAAAAUAUUUACAAUGAUUGUUUGAACUUAGAUUUGG